This is a long non-coding RNA of Sebastes umbrosus (honeycomb rockfish), 430 nucleotides long. RefSeq lists it as uncharacterized. The record is from RefSeq and is a predicted model, not a curated record. The transcript is spliced from 3 exons. NCBI's taxonomy places the organism in Eukaryota, Metazoa, Chordata, Actinopteri, Perciformes, Sebastidae.
UAUCUACUGACACAUCGAGCAGAGAUCUCUCCUGUCGUGUUUACAACUCCUCUUCCUCCUCCUCGCUUUUUUGGCGCCAGAGCCUGUUGACCAAUCAGAGCGCCGCUGUGAGAUCCAGACCAGAGCAAUGGAUUCAAUGCUACCAUCACUUUACAAAUCUAGACAAAAGGAAGAACAGAUUGCACAUCAAAGUCAUCAGACAUGUUCGUCGGCGCCCCCAGAAAGCAGGCAGCCAUUCACAUCUUUGGAAAGUCAAAUAAGUCACGACCUAAAUGGAGUCAAAUUAAAUAAAGCCAUAUUAAACGAAGGUACUGUAUUGUUGUAGCUGUGUAUCUGAGCGGAGUGGGCAGGCAGCCGGUACAGCGGGCCUACUGUCGACUGUAGCAGCAGUCUGAGAGACUCAUUAGAUAUUUUCACUCUGCAAACUAAA